This 88-nucleotide transfer RNA is filed under the name Candidatus Thorarchaeota archaeon. Its description in RNAcentral is "tRNA-Leu". It matches the Rfam family "tRNA". From Rfam's summary of the family: Transfer RNA (tRNA) molecules are approximately 80 nucleotides in length. Their secondary structure includes four short double-helical elements and three loops (D, anti-codon, and T loops). Further hydrogen bonds mediate the characteristic L-shaped molecular structure. tRNAs have two regions of fundamental functional importance: the anti-codon, which is responsible for specific mRNA codon recognition, and the 3' end, to which the tRNAs corresponding amino acid is attached (by aminoacyl-tRNA synthetases). tRNAs cope with the degeneracy of the genetic code in two manners: having more than one tRNA (with a specific anti-codon) for a particular amino acid; and 'wobble' base-pairing, i.e. permitting non-standard base-pairing at the 3rd anti-codon position. Lineage: Archaea; Promethearchaeati; Candidatus Thorarchaeota. The record is from RNAcentral.
GCGGAGGUUGCCAAGCCAGGUCAAAGGCGCUGGGUUUAGGUCCCAGUCUCGUAGGAGUUCACGAGUUCAAAUCUCGUCCUCCGCACCA